This 33-nucleotide transfer RNA is filed under the name Carex sp. EM-2009a. RNAcentral's name for it is "partial tRNA-Leu". Lineage: Eukaryota; Viridiplantae; Streptophyta; Magnoliopsida; Poales; Cyperaceae. The record is from RNAcentral.
GACUUAAAAUCCGUCGAUUUUAUAAUCAUGAGG